UACGGGGGGGGCAAGCGUUGUUCGGAAUUACUGGGCGUAAAGGGCUCGUAGGCGGCCAACUAAGUCGGAUGUGAAAUCCCCAGGCUUAACCUGGGAACUGCAUCCGAUACUGGAUGGCUUGAAUUCGGGAGAGGGAUGCAGAAUUCCAGGUGUAGCGGUGAAAUGCGUAGAUAUCUGGAGGAACACGCGUGGCGAAAGCGAGUCACUGGACAGUAUCUGACGCUGAUGCACGAAGGCUAGGGGAGCGAAAGGG
RNAcentral lists this ribosomal RNA (253 nucleotides) under uncultured bacterium. RNAcentral describes it as "partial 16S ribosomal RNA". It matches the Rfam family "Bacterial small subunit ribosomal RNA", at positions 524 to 776 of the family's 1533-position model. The record is from RNAcentral.